Molecule: RNA transcript, 4537 nt
Organism: Formica exsecta
Lineage: Eukaryota; Metazoa; Arthropoda; Insecta; Hymenoptera; Formicidae
Gene name: paired box protein Pax-6-like
Exons: 10
Source: RefSeq, a predicted model, not a curated record
GAGUCCGCGAGUCGGUGCGUGCCAGUCCGUGCGUGCGCUUUUACCUAAUAAUAUUUCCACGGCCGGAGAGAGUUUCCGUUCUCUCUAUCUCUCUCCUCUCUUCUCUCUUUCAUCCGAUAUACGCAUCUCGCACUCCCUCUGUAUCUCUCUCUCUCUCUCUUUCUCUCUCUCUCUUCGCAUCCGUUUCUACGUGUAUAUAUAUAUAUAUCUCUCUUCCUCGCUCUCUCCCUCUUAGGGUUAGGCGUCCUCGCGUAGAAGGCUUUUCGCGUCGCGACCACCCUCCCCGCCCCGAUCCGACGGGGAUUUCACGAAAGCGAGAGAGGAGAGGAAUCACACGCUGCAGAGCAGCACGUGUGCCGCACUCGCGCGGAUCGGCACAAGCGCGGUUGGUUAUAAUCAUCGUUCUUUUCCUCGCACCGCUUUCGCACAUAAGUCGAACGCGAAAUUGGUCGCGCUCGAGACACUGACUGGACCGGCAAAUCCAAGAUAAAUUCGAGAGGUUAUUAACGCGCGCGACUAGCCGCGAAAGUGAGAGGGGUGUUUUGCCGCGAGCGAACCGAUUUCAACGGAUAAAUCGAUCCCCGCGAGUCGAAUCGAAGUGUUCGAUCCGGCGCGAGAGUGACGUAACCACAACUCGCGGUUCGCGCCCGGAAGGCUGUGCUUAGUAUAUGCGGGGUGCGACGAAAAACGAGACCAGCCAAAGGAUUCGCAGUGGUGCUUUCGCGGAACGAGGACGUCGAAGGGAGGACGGAAACCGUCGGCCGUCGGCAGAUCUUGUGAACGAAAGUGUUCAAAGGCCCGAAGAUUCUGCCUUCGCAGCAACUGGGCGCUGCGGUCGCUCCAUGGCCGGGCGCCACCGGCCUCAUAGGCUCCGUCACUGCUGACGACAUGGCACACAAAGGACACAGCGGGGUGAACCAGCUGGGUGGUGUCUUCGUCGGCGGCCGGCCACUUCCGGACUCGACGCGGCAAAAGAUCGUCGAGCUCGCACAUUCGGGCGCGCGACCUUGCGAUAUCUCCAGGAUACUGCAGGUCAGCAAUGGCUGCGUCUCGAAGAUCCUGGGCAGGUACUAUGAGACCGGAUCUAUAAGGCCCAGGGCUAUCGGUGGCAGCAAACCGCGUGUGGCGACGGCGGAGGUCGUCAACAAGAUCUCGCUCUACAAAAGCGAGUGCCCGUCGAUCUUUGCGUGGGAGAUCCGAGAUCGCUUGCUGCAGGAAGGCGUGUGCACGAACGACAACAUCCCAAGCGUGUCCUCAAUCAACAGGGUACUGAGAAAUCUGGCCGCGCAGAAGGAACAGAGGCAGCAGCAGCAACAGCAACAGCAAGGGGUGGGCGCCGUGGGGGUUGGCGUCGGUGCCGGCAGUCCAGCGGAGAGCGUUUACGAUAAACUCAGGCUAUUAAACGGACAGACCACCGGCUGGCCGCGUCCCAAUCCCUGGUAUCCGUCGAGUGCGGGAAGCCCUUUUUCGUCGAUACAAUCUAGUUUGAGUCCGAGCCAUUGUUCAUCCCUACCACCAGAUCCAGCGGACAUAUUGCACGCGAAGAAAGUAACCGAACUCGAGGGUGGCGCGCAUUCUGACGAGACGAACAGCGGGGGUGACAACAGUAACGCCGGCAGCGUGUCAGGCGGCGCCGAUGACGACCAGGCGCGUCUACGCCUGAAGAGGAAGCUGCAGAGGAAUCGCACGAGUUUCAGCAACGAGCAAAUCGACGCGCUCGAGAAGGAGUUCGAGAGAACGCACUAUCCGGACGUGUUCGCCAGGGAGAGACUCGCCGGCAAGAUCGGCCUACCGGAGGCGCGAAUACAGGUCUGGUUUUCGAAUCGGCGGGCAAAGUGGCGGCGCGAGGAGAAAUUACGCACACAACGGAGGGAUAAUCCGCCACCGCAGCAGCAGCAACAGCAGCAGCAACAGCAACAGCAACACACUGCCGGGGUUAGUCUGGUGGGUGCUGGUCACCCGACGCCGCCACCACCCUCGGGGAUACUCGGAGGCCAGCCGCCACCGCAGGCACCACCCUCGCCCCCCAGAAUACACCACGGAUUCGCGCCCACCGCCGUAUAUCCCGGAAUACCCAGUAUGCCCGACUCAUACAGCCCAAUGACGUCGAUGCCGAGCUUCACGAUGGGUGCCAGUCAGCAGAACCAGCACACGACGAGCAGCAUGUCCUCGCUGUCCACCGGGGGUGGUAUGAGCCCGAUGGGCAUGACCGUGGGUAUGACUGUCGGACCGAGUCCCGGCGCGUGCCUCCAGCAACGGGACAACGGCUACUCGUGCGGGGUCGCGAGACCGCCGAGCUACGAGCCCCUUCAUCUAGGCUACGGCGCCAGGCCCACUUGCAGCCCCACGCAGCCCUAUCACGCGGCGGGCCUCAAUCAGUACAAUCAGAACGCCAGCUCGACCGGUGAGUGUCUACCGCACUCACUGCAUUCGCUGCUUGCACUCUAGCCGAUGGACUACUACUACGGCUACCAUGGAUAACACGCUAUCGAGCCCGCCGGUCUAAUAUCGCCUGGCGUGAGUGUACCGAUCGCGGUACCAGGUCAACCGGCGCCCGACAUGGCGGCGCAAUAUUGGUCACCGAGGCUGCAGUGACCGUGGUGGUCGUCGACGUCGACCUCGUCUCCGUAGACUUGAGCUUCUUCGUCUAUCUAGUUUAUGUUACCGAAAAAGAACGGCACACACGGUUACGCUUGAUUGUGGCGCGAAGUCUCCGCACUUUAUGAUGUUGAUUGUUUGUGCGUGCGACUCUAUCUCGUAACAAAAAUCAAAGUGAUCUAUCAUACCCGUGCGUUUCGUUUAAGCCAAAGCUCUGCAUGGAAACGAGUUUGAUUUGUCCGUGUUCGCGUCCGCUGCUUCCGUUUCUGUAAGGCAAUGAAUGCGUCAUGAACAUCAUUUCACACACAGAAACUUUGACCGAAGAGACAACAUUGUCCGUGAAUUCGCUGACGUUUACUUGCGUGAGAAAAUCAUCCGUGGCACAAAAGAAUCCGAUUCUAUCUAUUCGUCGAAGACGAUGAACUAAAUUUUUAACUAAAUGAUUCUGAUCGAAUCUGUUUAUGUAUUGAUGAUAAAAAUCGAUGUAGUAAUUGUAUAAUUGCAAUACAAAUGUGACACAUGCCGAAUUGGGUUACAAUAGGCGGAUCAAUCAAUUUCUGUGUAUGAUGGUGUGAAUCUUAUUCAUCGUUAAAAUUAAAUUCCUAAUAUCCUGUAUUAAAAAUUAAUAUUUACACUUACGAUUAACAUCUUUCCGAUCAAGUCCCUUUAUUAUUUUUAGACAAAUAAUAAUGCUGCUUUUUCGCACUUUCACUAACAAUGUUAGUGUCGUAAUGUACACGCAAAGAGAUAUUUAUUUCGAGACGCUUUAUCAAAAUCCAAUGACUCGUAAGAACACGUGAUCUUUGUAAGAAAUAUGUCAAUCAAGUGAUAAUUUUUUUUAUAUGAUAUAUCACAAUAUCAAUGAUCGGCAAGGUGUUAUAUGGAAAAAUCUUCCAAAAUAUACAUCCACGUACAUGCACACUUUUAUAAUUACACAGCUUCAUUUUAUUCGUAUACGAUUAUACUUCCAAUAUCUUUGAAAUAGAAUCGGGCAAGGUGAGACGCGGUGAAAAAAAAAAAAGAAAUAAAUCAUCGGCAAUGUGCAACUCGUGUAAAAAUAAUUAGCGUGAAAAUCGAAGAGGGAAAAGAAAGAAAAUCGCUCUCGAGAAUUCUCGCUGUUUUUAUUCGCAACGUUUCGUAGAUGUAAUUCUUGUAGGCGAGAGAAAGGGAAAUAAAAAUAGUUUCUAAGUCGGUAUUAUGUUAUUAUUUAUACUCGUAUAAAACAGAGCGGAGAGAGUCAGGAGAUAAUAAACGUGAGUUUGUUGUGUGUACAUCGUAAGAAUAUCUCGAUCCAGUCAUUUAUAUAUAAAUAUAUACAUAGUUGACUCUAUAAUUCUCUAAAUACACUUGAUAAAAUCAAUUCGUAAAUUAUAUCCGGUGCAAGGUUCGUGAGAGAGGGAGAGAGAGAAAGAGAGAAAAAAAGAAGAACCGAAAAUGCCGAUUGUGAUUUCCCUUAGGCCAGAUAUGUUAAGCGUACGAUUAUGCAUUCUAAAUAAAUAGUGUGUACAUUUAAUCGAGAGUUCUCUCGAUGCUUGUUUUCUAAUCGGAGAAUCCGUUUGCGAGAUCCUAGCGUAUACAUUCGUCCUUGCUAUAUCAAAUAUUAAUUGCAGAGAGUGUGAAGCAACCAUGUGUUUAAUACUGGAUAUCAAUUGAUCAAGAUAAGUAACGAUCGUGCGAUUUCCUAUUAGAAAUCAAGCGCAACUCCUUCCCGAACGUGUUCAUCUCGAUUCGAUAAUUCAUAUGUAUCUCAAUGCCGUUUCGUUAAUCCUCUUAGCAUAAUCGAUAAUCAAUAAAGAUAUCAACGAUCCCUCCUGGUAUUAUCGUCCAAAUCGAAACAAUUGAACCAAUUAUAAAAAAAUAAAGGAAAGCGGAAUGUGUGCAAGCAGAAAGAGACCAUCGUUUUACCUUGCAAAUGUAACAAUUGUAUAUUUAUUUCGAC